RNAcentral lists this ribosomal RNA (216 nucleotides) under Glomeromycotina sp. RNAcentral's name for it is "partial small subunit ribosomal RNA". The stretch from base 87 to 216 matches the Rfam family "Eukaryotic small subunit ribosomal RNA", at positions 733 to 864 of the family's 1831-position model. The record is from RNAcentral. Lineage: Eukaryota; Fungi; Glomeromycota.
GGGUCAGGAGGCUGGUCGUGCCACCGGUACGUACUGGUCUCACUGAUUCCUCCUUCCUGAAGAACCGUAAUGCCACUAAUUUGGUGUUGCGGGGAAACAGGACUGUUACCUUGAAAAAAUUAGAGUGUUUAAAGCAAGCUAACGCUUGAAUACAUUAGCAUGGAAUAAUGAAAUAGGACGAUCGAUCCUAUUUUGUUGGUUUCUAGGAUUGACGUA